This 433-nucleotide ribosomal RNA is filed under the name uncultured bacterium. RNAcentral's name for it is "partial 16S ribosomal RNA". It matches the Rfam family "Bacterial small subunit ribosomal RNA", at positions 29 to 507 of the family's 1533-position model. The record is from RNAcentral.
AACGAACGCUGGCGGCAGGCCUAACACAUGCAAGUCGAGCGAGGACUUCGGUUCUAGCGGCGGACGGGUGAGUAACGCGUGGGAAUGUGCCCUUCUCUACGGAAUAGCCCUGGGAAACUGGGAGUAAUACCGUAUACGCCCUAUUGGGGAAAGAUUUAUCGGAGAAGGAUCAGCCCGCGUUGGAUUAGGUAGUUGGUGGGGUAAUGGCCUACCAAGCCGACGAUCCAUAGCUGGUUUGAGAGGAUGAUCAGCCACACUGGGGCUGAGACACGGCCCAGACUCCUACGGGAGGCAGCAGUGGGGAAUCUUAGACAAUGGGGGCAACCCUGAUCUAGCCAUGCCGCGUGAGUGAUGAAGGCCUUAGGGUUGUAAAGCUCUUUCAGCUGGGAAGAUAAUGACGGUACCAGCAGAAGAAGCCCCGGCUAACUCCGUG